Molecule: ribosomal RNA, 468 nt
Filed under: uncultured bacterium
Lineage: Bacteria
Description: partial 16S ribosomal RNA
Rfam family: Bacterial small subunit ribosomal RNA
Source: RNAcentral
GACGAACGCUGGCGGCGUGCUUAACACAUGCAAGUCGAACGGAAAGGCCCUGCUUUUGUGGGGUGCUCGAGUGGCGAACGGGUGAGUAACACGUGAGUAACCUGCCCUUGACUUUGGGAUAACUUCAGGAAACUGGGGCUAAUACCGGAUAGGAGCUCCUGCUGCAUGGUGGGGGUUGGAAAGUUUCGGCGGUUGGGGAUGGACUCGCGGCUUAUCAGCUUGUUGGUGGGGUAGUGGCUUACCAAGGCUUUGACGGGUAGCCGGCCUGGGAGGGUGACCGGCGACAUUGGGACUGAGGUACGGAGCAGAGUCCUAUGGGAGGCAGCGGUGGGGAAUAUUGCACAAUGGGCGGAAGCCUGAUGCAGAAACGCCGCGUGCGGGAUGACGGCCUUCGGGUUGUAAACCGCUUUCGCCUGUGACGAAGCGUGAGUGACGGUAAUGGGUAAAGAAGCACCGGCUAACUACGUG